UGGGGAAUUUUGGACAAUGGGCGCAAGCCUGAUCCAGCCAUUCCGCGUGCAGGACGAAGGCCUUCGGGUUGUAAACUGCUUUUGUACGGAACGAAAAGCCCUUCUCUAAUACAGAGGGGUCAUGACGGUACCGUAAGAAUAAGCACCGGCUAACUCCGUGCCAGCAGCCGCGGUAAUACGGAGGGUGCAAGCGUUAUCCGGAUUUACUGGGUUUAAAGGGUGUGUAGGCGGAUUAUUAAGUCAGCGGUGAAAUCUCCAGGCUCAACCUGGGAACUGCCUUUGUGACUGCAAGGCUGGAGUGCGGCAGAGGGGGAUGGAAUUCCGCGUGUAGCAGUGAAAUGCGUAGAUAUGCGGAGGAACACCGAUGGCGAAGGCAAUCCCCUGGGCCUGCACUGACGCUCAUGCACGAAAGCGUGGGGAGCAAACA
RNAcentral lists this ribosomal RNA (427 nucleotides) under uncultured bacterium. Its description in RNAcentral is "bacterial SSU rRNA". It matches the Rfam family "Bacterial small subunit ribosomal RNA", at positions 355 to 774 of the family's 1533-position model. The record is from RNAcentral.